CCCUUAGAUGUUCUGGGCCGCACGCGCGCUACACUGACGAAGUCAGCGAGCAUGUCCUACGCCGGCAGGUGCGGGGAAUCUUGUGAAACUUUGUCGUGCUGGGGAUUGAUUUUUGAAAUUCUUGAUCAUGAACGAGGAAUUCCUAGUAAGCGCAAGUCAGCAGCUUGCGUUGAUUACGUCCCUGCCCUUUGUACACACCGCCCGUCGCUACUACCGAUUGAAUGGUUUAGUGAGAUCUUCGGAUUGGCGCCACUGCGGCUCAGCAAUGGGCUCGGUGGAUGCCGAAAAGUUGAUCAAACUUGAUCAUUUAGAGGAAGUAAAAGUCGUAACA
Molecule: ribosomal RNA, 331 nt
Filed under: uncultured eukaryote
Lineage: Eukaryota
Description: partial 18S ribosomal RNA
Rfam family: Eukaryotic small subunit ribosomal RNA
Source: RNAcentral